RNAcentral lists this long non-coding RNA (1266 nucleotides) under Anas platyrhynchos platyrhynchos (common mallard). RNAcentral describes it as "lncRNA (ENSAPLG00000030257.1)". The record is from RNAcentral. Lineage: Eukaryota; Metazoa; Chordata; Aves; Anseriformes; Anatidae.
UUGCAUUGUGAGCUUCUUUGGAAAUAUAGAUUUUAAUUUUCUGAUACUGUAGAUGAAACUCAUUUUUAGAUGUAUUUUCUUUAUCUGAAAUGAUGAGUUAGUAAUCUUCCUGAAUUUCAGAAACAGUGUGAAUAUACCCUGAUAGGCUAAGCAUAUAUUAUUACCAUAUGCUUGCUAUAAAUGGAAUUAAGCAUGGCUAUGUAUUGGCUAGGGGAUUACUCAGAAUCAGUUUGAUGUACUGAUCAGCUGGGCUUUUAAAUACAAUACUGGCAUUGUUGUGUUGUGCUAUGCAGAUCACUGUCUCCCACCUGGGGAGGUCUGCCCCAUUAGGAAUUAAAUCUAGCUGGUGCUGCUGCAGCUGCAUUGGCAAAUGGGAGAGGGAAGGAGGCAGCAGCAUACAAACAGGACUAUUGUGCUAGGUGAAACUCAACACCAACUUGGCUAUGCAGGUUGUCUCCACCACUCUGUGUGUAAUAAUGGAUGUUUUGGACAAGGUCACAACUGUUGGACAAAUAUAUACAGAAGAGACAUGUCCACUGUCAUUUGUGGAUGUUGUUUCAUCUUAUUUAUUUAUAAAUCAUUGGGGUACAUGCAGUAAAGACAAAAAAAAGAAGUUUCUACAUGGAAAAGAAAAUGGAAUACCCAUACAGUACCCCCCAUCCAUUAAAGCAGACUUCAGAAAUAAGUGUAAGGACCAUAUUAUUGGUGCAUGUUGAGGUUUCCCUCUAUUCUGAGUGACUCUUGAACAUCAGAUAUGUGCCAGCUACAAAGAGUGACUGAACAUGCUUGGGUCCAAGGACUAUGCUGGAGUGGGAUCACACGAUGGGAUAGAGAAGUUGGGACCAAGGAGAUCUGUGAGAGAAACUGCCUAUUUCUUGUUCAAAGGAGCCAAAAGCUACACAGAUGUGAAGAUCAGUGAGCAAGAAACUUCUCAGUGAAAAACAUGGUAAAAUGGAGAAGUCAGUCCUGUGGUCUAGGGUUGCUUGUGUAGGGAGGUAUUAUAGAUAAGGGUGUAAGGAAAUGUUAACCUAGAUAGAUCCUGACCAGAGCUAAGAGUUAGGAACAACAACAACUGAAGUCUGGGUGGGGCUGGCUGGAGAAACAUGUCUUAUAUGGCGAUUGGGAAAAUUCUGCUUCAGUGUAAGGUUUAGUUUUCUCUCUGUGAAAUAAGAAUAGUUACCUUUUUGCUAAACCAGUAUCUAACAUUAAUUUCAAGGGAAACUAUAUCCAACUAAUAAAUUCUUAUUAUUUGUUAUUGGAUGAUCA